GAACGCGAAGAACCUUACCUGGUCUUGACAUGUACAGAAGGUUUUAGAGAUAAGACUGUGCCUUCGGGAACUGUAACACAGGUGCUGCAUGGCUGUCGUCAGCUCGUGUCGUGAGAUGUUGGGUUAAGUCCCGCAACGAGCGCAACCCUUGUCAUUAGUUGCCAUCAUUAAGUUGGGCACUCUAAUGAGACCGCCGGUGAUAAACCGGAGGAAGGUGGGGAUGAUGUCAAGUCAUCAUGGCCCUUAUGACCAGGGCUUCACACGUCAUACAAUGGUAGGUACAGAGGGUAGCGAAGCGGCGACGUGAAGCCAAUCUCAGAAAGCCUAUCGUAGUCCGGAUUGUAGUCUGCAACUCGACUACAUGAAGUCGGAAUCGCUAGUGAUCGCAGAUCAGCAUGUUGCGGUGAAUACGUUCCCGGGUCUUGUACACACC
Molecule: ribosomal RNA, 433 nt
Filed under: uncultured bacterium
Lineage: Bacteria
Description: bacterial SSU rRNA
Rfam family: Bacterial small subunit ribosomal RNA
Source: RNAcentral